CAGUCGAACGGAGCUUAGAGAGCUUGCUUUUUAAGCUUAGUGGCGAACGGGUGAGUAACGCGUGAGUAACCUGCCCUGGAGUGGGGGACAACAGUUGGAAACGACUGCUAAUACCGCAUAAGCCCACGGCACCGCAUGGUACUGAGGGAAAAGGAUUUAUUCGCUUUAGGAUGGACUCGCGUCCAAUUAGCUAGUUGGUGAGGUAACGGCCCACCAAGGCGACGAUUGGUAGCCGGACUGAGAGGUUGAACGGCCACAUUGGGACUGAGACACGGCCCAGACUCCUACGGGAGGCAGCAGUGGGGGAUAUUGCACAAUGGGGGAAACCCUGAUGCAGCGACGCCGCGUGGAGGAAGAAGGUUUUCGGAUUGUAAACUCCUGUCGUUAGGGACGAUAAUGACGGUACCUAACAAGAAAGCACCGGCUAACUACGUGCCAGCAGCCGCGGUAAAACGUAGGGUGCAAGCGUUGUCCGGAAUUACUGGGUGUAAAGGGAGCGCAGGCGGGAAGACAAGUUGGAAGUGAAAACCAUGGGCUCAACCCAUGAAUUGCUUUCAAAACUGUUUUUCUUGAGUAGUGCAGAGGUAGAUGGAAUUCCCGGUGUAGCGGUGGAAUGCGUAGAUAUCGGGAGGAACACCAGUGGCGAAGGCGGUCUACUGGGCACCAACUGACGCUGAGGCUCGAAAGCAUGGGUAGCAAACAGGAUUAGAUACCCUGGUAGUCCAUG
This 727-nucleotide ribosomal RNA is filed under the name uncultured bacterium. RNAcentral describes it as "bacterial SSU rRNA". It matches the Rfam family "Bacterial small subunit ribosomal RNA", at positions 59 to 799 of the family's 1533-position model. The record is from RNAcentral.